AGUGAACGCUGGCGGUAGGCCUAACACAUGCAAGUCGAACGGCAGCACAGUAAGAGCUUGCUCUUACGGGUGGCGAGUGGCGGACGGGUGAGGAAUACAUCGGAAUCUACUUUUUCGUGGGGGAUAACAUAGGGAAACUUACGCUAAUACCGCAUACGACCUACGGGUGAAAGCAGGGGAUCUUCGGACCUUGCGCGAUUGAAUGAGCCGAUGUCGGAUUAGCUAGUUGGCGGGGUAAAGGCCCACCAAGGCGACGAUCCGUAGCUGGUCUGAGAGGAUGAUCAGCCACACUGGAGCUGAGACACGGUCCAGACUCCUACGGGAGGCAGCAGUGGGGAAUAUUGGACAAUGGGCGCAAGCCUGAUCCAGCCAUACCGCGUGGGUGAAGAAGGCCUUCGGGUUGUAAAGCCCUUUUGUUGGGAAAGAAAAGCAGCAGGUUAAUACCCCGCUGUUCUGACGGUACCCAAAGAAUAAGCACCGGCUAACUUCGUG
This 492-nucleotide ribosomal RNA is filed under the name uncultured bacterium. RNAcentral describes it as "partial 16S ribosomal RNA". It matches the Rfam family "Bacterial small subunit ribosomal RNA", at positions 29 to 507 of the family's 1533-position model. The record is from RNAcentral.